This is a non-coding RNA of Phalacrocorax carbo (great cormorant), 613 nucleotides long. The record is from RefSeq and is a predicted model, not a curated record. Lineage: Eukaryota; Metazoa; Chordata; Aves; Suliformes; Phalacrocoracidae.
CAGGCAGGAGCCACUCGCCAGGUCUUCCGACGCGAGGAGGUUGGCAUCAAAGCCCUCCUCCCUGUGAGCGGGGUACCGGCAGCUGGCUCGCCCCCGUCUCCGUUCAUUUCUACCUUAGCAAAGAGAAUAAAAUAACGGAUAAAGGCAAAAUAAAGCAUUAAUAAACACAGUCGUCUCCGCGGGGCUAAGGAAUCAACCAACGGGUAUCUCACUCUGCUUACAAAACUCCUCUUCUGGCGCUGUGAAGGCUAUCUACACGAUAAGAGCUGGUGUUCUGUCUGUUCUACCUCGGCAUUCCUCGCAAAGCCAGAGACAACACGCCAGUCUGCCCAAACAAAAAAAUAAAACACCAGACAGGCUUCUUUGGGAAAAGCAAAGUUACAUGUGAAAGAGGAAUUGCAACUGGAAUUUACAGCAAUGCUAGCCGUCAUGCCAUCAGGUCAAAUCCUGAUCCUACUCACUUUAUUGUAAACAAAGAGUGGUCCCAGGGACACGUCAGCUAUGGCAGUUCUUUAUUAGGCCCUUUUUUCAUAAGUCUGAGCUCUUCAAAAAUAAUUACAUGGAGAGACAUUUUAGGGUAUUGAAAAUAAACCUUUGUAUUUUCUUGGUGUAA